Molecule: microRNA precursor, 62 nt
Filed under: Dipodomys ordii (Ord's kangaroo rat)
Lineage: Eukaryota; Metazoa; Chordata; Mammalia; Rodentia; Heteromyidae
Description: miRNA (ENSDORG00000028692.1)
Source: RNAcentral
CCUGGUCCUGGUCCUGGCUCUGGCCCUGGCCCUGGUCCUGGUCUUGGUCCUGGUCCUGGUCC